Long non-coding RNA from Pelodiscus sinensis (Chinese soft-shelled turtle), 1103 nucleotides. RefSeq lists it as uncharacterized. NCBI's taxonomy places the organism in Eukaryota, Metazoa, Chordata, Testudines, Trionychidae. The record is from RefSeq and is a predicted model, not a curated record.
UCCUUGCUGUAUGGUCACUUAGAGGUGUGAUACAGUGCAAAGAUUGUGCUGCAGAAAAACAUUCUAUGGAGUGUUUUUGGAUUUAUAGCAGCUGCUCAGUUAGCCGUGCGAUAGACUCCUGUUCCCAUCAGGCCAUGGGCAUUCACCUCCCAGUCAGCAUUGCUCUGUGGCUGAAAAUGAACUUCCUCUGCUCAUCUACCCCAUCAGAACUUCUUCUAAUGAACACACACAGAUGUUUUAGUACUGCUGGGCAAAGCGAUCAUUUUCCAGAACAAUUGGCUGAAGGGCACCAGUUAGUUCACCUCAUGAGAACUACAGAAGCUGGUUUAUGCCUCUACACACAACCAUAUUUUAUCUAAAAAAGGGCUGGGCAAAACUAUUGCCCCAUCUCAAGUGAUUUCAGCUUCCAGUGGUUUUUAGCUCUUAGCAGACAGAGAAGAAACACAGUCCUGCCACAACUGAUUUCAGUUCUGAGUGAGCGUUUAAUAUGAAGCCUCCAAUAAAGCCUAUUUAGCUCUUUCUUUGAACAGUGUAUGUGUGGGGAAGGGUUUUAAUAAAUUGAGCCAGUUGAAACAGUGCAUGCAGAACCAUUGGGAAAGGUUUGCAGCCUCCUGACCCAUGCGUAUUGGUCCCAUCAUAUUUCCAGAUACGGUAAAAACAAGAAGGAAAUUAGUGGCACUUGAAAGACUAACACAUUUAUUAGGAUAUUGGAGCAUAAACUUUAAUGAGUUACAUGAUGUGGUGGAAUUUUUAUUAGCGAUUAUCACUUGUCACAGCCAUUUAACUUGAGUUCUUCAGGGCAGAAACCAUUUUUACUUUGUUUGAAAAGAAAGUCAGAAAUUCCUCCAAUUCGAUCCUUUCUGCAGGCUAGACAAUUGCAAGAAUACAGUGUUGCAACAAAUGGGAAUGCAAAUUACAGCCAGAUAUUGAUCAAGUGAAUGAAGAGGAGUAGAAUGACUUCCUUCCUGUGGUACAUAAUGAUUGACUUAGAGGAACUGGUUCAGGAAAAAAUAAUGAGCAAGUUUUUUAAAAAAAAUGGAUCUACAUUUUAUAACAGUAUUCAUUUUGCUUAUGGAAGAAUGAAGUGUUAUAGCAGUGUCAGU